UCUCCGUAGGUGAACCUGCGGAGGGAUCAUUACAGAGUUCAUGCCCUACCGGGUAGAUCUCCCACCCUAUGUUAUUAUUACUUUGUUGCUUUGGCGGGCCGUUAGGCUCCGGCCCGACUACCGGCCCCGGCUGGUAAGCGCCCGCCAGAGGACCCAAAACCCUGAAUAUUAGUGUCGUCUGAGUACUAUAUAAUAGUUAAAACUUUCAACAACGGAUCUCUUGGUUCUGGCAUCGAUGAAGAACGCAGU
RNAcentral lists this unclassified non-coding RNA (249 nucleotides) under plant metagenome. RNAcentral's name for it is "partial contains small subunit ribosomal RNA, internal transcribed spacer 1, and 5.8S ribosomal RNA". The stretch from base 201 to 249 matches the Rfam family "5.8S ribosomal RNA", at positions 1 to 49 of the family's 154-position model. The record is from RNAcentral.